This 220-nucleotide unclassified non-coding RNA is filed under the name soil metagenome. RNAcentral describes it as "partial contains 5.8S ribosomal RNA, internal transcribed spacer 2, and large subunit ribosomal RNA". The record is from RNAcentral.
AACACUGUUAACCUGCGGUACCUGCGGAAGGAUCAUUACACAAUACAAUAUGAAGGCUGUCCGCAGCUGGAGUAUUUUAUUACCCUUGUCUUUUGCGCACUUGUUGUUUCCUGGGCGGGUUCGCUCGCCACCAGGACCACCAAAUAAACCUUUUUUAUGCAGUUGCAAUCAGCGUCAGUACAAACAAUGUAAAUCAUUUACAACUUUCAGCAAUGGAUCU